AGGUAAGUAAAAGUUCAAAGAGAGAAAGAAAAUAAUUUGUUUUGGUAAUGAUAUGUGAUAAAAAGAGACAGACGUCUUAGAUCGUUAGAAACGUUCGCUAACGUUCAAUCGAGCGUGUGUGAAGGAAUCAUGUGCGGCCCUGAAAAGGGCCUUUUUUUUAUUGAAAUCAUUCGUAUUUCAAGUAACAAGAAAUACGAAUAAUAGUAUUUAGUCGUUAGUCUAACCGCCGAAACCGUAGAGGG
This 242-nucleotide unclassified non-coding RNA is filed under the name Melitaea cinxia (Glanville fritillary). RNAcentral describes it as "misc RNA ENSMCXG00005000476.1". Lineage: Eukaryota; Metazoa; Arthropoda; Insecta; Lepidoptera; Nymphalidae. The record is from RNAcentral.